RNAcentral lists this long non-coding RNA (1025 nucleotides) under Equus caballus (horse). RNAcentral describes it as "lncRNA (ENSECAG00000049547.1)". Lineage: Eukaryota; Metazoa; Chordata; Mammalia; Perissodactyla; Equidae. The record is from RNAcentral.
AGUAAACUAGGUUUCAGAGGAUUUGUGAGAGAUGUUAUCGGUAGGCCAUAAGAGCAGUGUGUAGAUCGAGUUGUUUCUUAGCUUCACAAAGAAAUGGAAGCAAGACUGUUUGUGGAUUGUCUCCUUUAACGGCAAUGACUCAGAGCUUUGUCACUUCCACCUCAAGAGCAAUGUAGGACAUGCCUUAGAGCGGAAGCUCCAAGGCGGUGAGAUCAGGGCUGGAAACAAACUGGGUUGGAGGUGUUUGUAUGAGAGGUUCCCGGUAGGCUGUAAGAGCCCAGGGGAAAGCGAGUUCAUUCUCACCUUGUGAAAGAGCUGUAAGCAAGACGGUCUGUGCCCUGUCUCCUCUUAAGGAAGACAGGCAGAGCUUUGUGACUUCCACGUCUAGGGCAAUGUAUUACAUGGCAGAGGAUAAGUUCUGCUUCAGCGAAAUCAGGGCUGGAAAGAACGGCGUUUGACAGGCCUUUGUGAGAGAUGUUGCCGGUAGGCUGUAAGAGCACUGUGGAGAGUGAGUUGUUUCUUAGCUUCCCAAAGAGCUAGAAGCAAGACACUUUGUGGCUUGUCUCCUUGGAGAAAAUGAGUCAGCAGUUUGUCACUUCCACCUCUAUAGCAAUGUACUACAUGGCUUAGAGCAGAAGUUCCAAGGCGGUGAGAUCAUGCCUGGAAAAACUGUAUUUCUGUGCUUUGUAUCAGAGGUUCCCAGCUGGCUGUAAGAGUCCUAUGGAAAGCGAGUUCUUUCUCACCUUGCCAAAGAGCUGGAAGCGAGACGGUAUGUGGCCUGUCUCCUCUUAAGUAAGUCAGGCAGCCCAUUGUACGGCCACCUCUAGUGAAAUGUAUUACUUGGCAGAGCAGAAGUUCUAAUCCAGUGAGAUCAGGGCUGGGAAGAAACUGCGUUUCAAAGGCCUUUGUGAGAGAUGUUCCUGGCAGGCUGUAAGAGCACUGUGCAGAGCGAGUUGUUUCUUAGCUUCCCAAAGAGCAGAAGCAAGAUGCAUUGUGGCCUGCCUCCCCUUGAGGAAACAAGGCAG